RNAcentral lists this ribosomal RNA (469 nucleotides) under uncultured bacterium. RNAcentral's name for it is "bacterial SSU rRNA". It matches the Rfam family "Bacterial small subunit ribosomal RNA", at positions 30 to 486 of the family's 1533-position model. The record is from RNAcentral.
AUUGAACGCUGGCGGCAUGCCUUACACAUGCAAGUCGAACGGCAGCACGGGAGCAAUCCUGGUGGCGAGUGGCGAACGGGUGAGUAAUAUAUCGGAACGUGCCCAGUCGUGGGGGAUAACGUAGCGAAAGCUACGCUAAUACCGCAUACGAUCUAUGGAUGAAAGCGGGGGGAUCGCAAGACCUCGCGCGAUUGGAGCGGCCGAUAUCAGAUUAGGUAGUUGGUGGGGUAAAAGCUUACCAAGCCUGCGAUCUGUAGCUGGUCUGAGAGGACGACCAGCCACACUGGAACUGAGACACGGUCCAGACUCCUACGGGAGGCAGCAGUGGGGAAUUUUGGACAAUGGGCGCAAGCCUGAUCCAGCAAUGCCGCGUGCAGGAUGAAGGCCUUCGGUUGUAACGUAGCUUUUGUACGGUAACGAAACGGACCCGUUUCUAACUACAGGGGUUAAGUAGACGGUACCGUAAGAA